RNAcentral lists this ribosomal RNA (468 nucleotides) under uncultured bacterium. RNAcentral describes it as "partial 16S ribosomal RNA". It matches the Rfam family "Bacterial small subunit ribosomal RNA", at positions 28 to 507 of the family's 1533-position model. The record is from RNAcentral.
GACGAACGCUGGCGGCGUGCUUAACACAUGCAAGUCGAACGGAAAGGCCCUGCUUUUGUGGGGUGCUCGAGUGGCGAACGGGUGAGUAACACGUGAGUAACCUGCCCUUGACUUUGGGAUAACUUCAGGAAACUGGGGCUAAUACCGGAUAGGAGCUCCUGCUGCAUGGUGGGGGUUGGAAAGUUUCGGCGGUUGGGGAUGGACUCGCGGCUUAUCAGCUUGUUGGUGGGGUAGUGGCUUACCAAGUCUUUGACGGGUAGCCGGCCUGAGAGGGUGACCGGCCACAUUGGGACUGAGAUACGGACCAGACUCCUACGGGAGGCAGCAGUGGGGAAUAUUGCACAAUGGGCGGAAGCCUGAUGCAGCAACGCCGCGUGCGGGAUGACGGCCUUCGGGUGGUAAACCGCUUUCGCCUGUGACGAAGCGUGAGUGACGGUAAUGGGUAAAGAAGCACCGGCUAACUACGUG